This 808-nucleotide ribosomal RNA is filed under the name uncultured archaeon. Its description in RNAcentral is "bacterial SSU rRNA". It matches the Rfam family "Archaeal small subunit ribosomal RNA", at positions 85 to 876 of the family's 1478-position model. The record is from RNAcentral.
ACGGCUCAGUAACACGUGGCUAACCCACCCUUGAGACGGAGAAAACCCCGGGAAACUGGGGUUAAUCUCCGAUAAGAGAAGACACCUGGAAUGGGUCUCCUCUCAAAGGGCGCCUAGACCAUGCUUCUAGGCGUUGCUCAAGGACGGGGCCGCGGCCGAUCAGGUUGUUGGUGAGGCAACGGCUCACCAAGCCUAUAACCGGUACGGGCCGUGAGAGCGGGAGCCCGGAGAUGGGCACUGAGAUAAGGGCCCAGGCCCUACGGGGCGCAGCAGUUGCGAAAACUCCGCAAUGCACGAAAGUGUGACGGGGCUACCCCGAGUGCCGUCCGCUGAGGACGGCUUUUCCCCGGUGUAAGGAGCCGGGGGAAUAAGGAGAGGGCAAGUCUGGUGUCAGCCGCCGCGGUAAUACCAGCUCUCCGAGUGGUAGGGAUGAUUAUUGGGCUUAAAGCGUCCGUAGCCGGCCCGGCAAGUCUUCCGUUAAAUCCAACGAUUCAAUCGUUGGACUGCAGGAGAUACUGUUGGGCUAGGAGGCGGGAGAGGCCGACGGUAUUCUCGGGGUAGGGGUAAAAUCCUAUAAUCCCGGGAGGACCACCAGUGGCGAAGGCGGUCGGCUAGAACGCGCUCGACGGUGAGGGACGAAAGCUGGGGGAGCGAACCGGAUUAGAUACCCGGGUAGUCCCAGCUGUAAACGAUGCGGGCUAGGUGUUGGGGCGGCUACGGGCCGCUUCAGUGCCGCAGGGAAACCAUUAAGCCCGCCGCCUGGGGAGUACGGCCGCAAGGCUGAAACUUAAAGGAAUUGGCGGGGGAG